GAAAGUCCUGCUGAGGUCCGAUGAUGGAUCCAGGCCUGCAGAUCCUGAUCCAGGCGAUGGCGUCAGCCGCUGUGAAACGAUAGUGCUUCAUCAGGUGUCGGCCAUCUUCCCCAUUAUCCUCAGUGUCCUGUUUUCUAGCAUUCACGGUUUUGACCAUUCUUCCUGCCCUGACCAUGCCUGUCGUUCUGUACCUUGUCACACCACCCUGGAUUACUGACCUCUGUCUGCCCUGACCCUGAGCCUGCCUGCCGUUCUGUACCUUUUGGACUCUGCUCUGGACUACUGACCUCUGCCUGCCCUUGACCUGUCGUCUGCCUGCCCCCCUGUUUCUGUAAUAAACCUUUGUUACUUCGAAACAGUCUGCAUCUGGAUCUUCUCCUGAGCCUUGACAUAGAGAGUAAUGGUGAGAGAGAAGGAGUAAGCCUACUGUUGAUAAAUCAGCCUAUU
Molecule: non-coding RNA, 447 nt
Organism: Salmo salar (Atlantic salmon)
Lineage: Eukaryota; Metazoa; Chordata; Actinopteri; Salmoniformes; Salmonidae
Source: RefSeq, a predicted model, not a curated record